AAUGAAUAAAUAAUCUAAUUAUGAUUAUAAUAAUGACUUAUAGAUAGAUAUUUUAUACAUUUAUAUAUAUUAUGAUUAUUAAUUAUGGAUAGACAGAUUAUAUAUUAUGAGUUUUGUCCAAUAGCUAAUGUCAAAGUAAGAUUAUUUGUAAUUUGUAAUUUACUGUUCAAGAAAAAGAAAAAAAAAGAAGAGAAGAAAAGAAAAUCCUAAACUAACACAAAUUAUAUAAUAAAGAAUGAGAAAUUCUUACCUAGAUUCGGUGUAUAUAUUAUAAUUAAUAAAAAAAUAAUAUAUAUAUCUAAGUGUUUUAUAUUUUUAUAUUAAAAAAUUGACAUAUAUUUUAUUAUUUUAAAUUAAUAAAUAUAAUAAAUAUGUGUCAAGGCCUGAUGACAAGACCUAAGAGGAGACAUCCAAACUCCUGCAUCACAUAUGCAAGCAAACUUAUUGUCAAUCUCCACCUACCCACUUUACGUAACUCUUUCCUCAACCUCUUGCAACAUAACCACACACACAAAUUUGCUGCUAAUAUUUCUUUUUUUCUCUCUCGGACGCACAAAUUCAGAGCAAUUUCCUAUUUGCUAUAUGGAGAAGGCAAAAAGGCCCAUUCGGAUGAUCGGAUUAGUCAGCUUCCUGAUCUUAUUUUGUCUUCUAUUCUAUCAACUUUAACACUAAAAGAUGUGAUGAAGACUAGUGUAUUGUCCAAAAGAUGCAAAAUUUGUUUGAAAACAAAUAUGAUAAGCACAAGUUCACUUUACAAGAUUAUGAUUUCUUUUUGGGUGUUUCUUCCUUCCAUCUUCAGUUCUAGUUGUCAGUUCUUCCCUUCGUAAAUUGUUACUGUUUGGUCCCUGAAACCUUUUGAAGGUUGAGAUAUCUGUUGUAAAUCCCAUAUCUUUUAAGUACAAGCCUUGUAAGCUCGCAGAUUUUUUUUUUUUCUCAUGUUCCUCGCCUUGUAGGAUUUUAUUUCUAUACAUGUGAAACAGAAAGAUUGCAUCAUCUUUUAUCCCAAUUAAAAGAUGUUUCUAAUUUAGAGAUCUUAAA
Long non-coding RNA from Ricinus communis (castor bean), 1038 nucleotides. RefSeq lists it as uncharacterized. The transcript has 2 exons. The record is from RefSeq and is a predicted model, not a curated record. NCBI's taxonomy places the organism in Eukaryota, Viridiplantae, Streptophyta, Magnoliopsida, Malpighiales, Euphorbiaceae.